GAUGAACGCUGGCGGCGUGCCUAAUACAUGCAAGUCGAGCGAACAGACGAUGAUCUUGCUCCUCUGACGUUAGCGGCGGACGGGUGUGUAACACGUGGAUAACCUACCUAUAUGACUGAGAAAACUUCGGGAAACCGGAGCUUAUACCGGAUAACAUGUUGAACCGCAUGGUUCAACAGUGAAAGACGGUCUUGCUGUCACUUCUAGAUGGAUCCCCGCCGGAUUAGCUCGUUGGUAAGGGAACGGCUUACCAAGGCAACCAUGCGUAGCCGACCUGAGUGGGUGAUCGGCCACAAUGGAGCUGAGACACGGUCAAGACUCCUACGGGAGGAAGCAGUAGGGUAUCUUCCGCAAUGGGCGAAAGUAUGACGGAACAACGCCGCGUCAGAGGAGAAGGUCUUCGGAUCGUAAAAAUCGGUUAUUAGGUAAGAACAAAUUUCUAAGUAACUGUGGACGUCUUGACGGUAACUGAUCAGAAAGCCACGGCUAACUACGUG
This 497-nucleotide ribosomal RNA is filed under the name uncultured bacterium. RNAcentral describes it as "partial 16S ribosomal RNA". It matches the Rfam family "Bacterial small subunit ribosomal RNA", at positions 28 to 507 of the family's 1533-position model. The record is from RNAcentral.